RNAcentral lists this long non-coding RNA (1786 nucleotides) under Trifolium pratense (red clover). RNAcentral's name for it is "long non-coding RNA (TPRA_LNC003782)". The record is from RNAcentral. Lineage: Eukaryota; Viridiplantae; Streptophyta; Magnoliopsida; Fabales; Fabaceae.
CCGUGUCACAAUCAGAGCGAAACUUUUACCAACAACUUGAACACCAACAAAUAUACAACCUGAGAACCUGAACCCCCAACGGUUCAGCACAACACAAAAUAGAGGUUAGAUAACAUAAUUAUUAAAAGUGACUGAAUAUAACGCAUAUCAGACACUGAAUAAAAUAAAUACAAUUGAGUAAAUUCAACUCAUACAAUCACCACAUAUACAGACAUGUAUUAGACAUAUUCAUUUAUCAAUUACUCGUCACAUUUGAGAAGUAAAAACUCUUGAACAAAGAAAUGAAAUACACAAUGUCGAGUAACAUUUAACAUUUAAGAAUGUCACAUAAUUUCUAAUGCAUUUUAAUGUCACAUAGAUAUGAUGUCACCUAGACAUAUCUAUAUGCAUGUGGUACCAAUUCAUCAUAAUCUUGGAUAACUUAACUCAAGUGUUUUAUAUCAUCGUCUCUAAAACAUUUUAGAUCAUCGUCUCUAGAAUAACAGUAAACUAGAUCAUCGUCUCUAGGAUACUCAUCAAUAGACUCAACUUAUGAAUGCAUGAAAUGUGCAUCUACCAAACAUAUGGUAUCAACUAUCAAUACAUCAUCAUUAUAAUAUGGAUAACUUAAUCCAUCUUCAUCAUCAUAAGCAUCAUCAUCAUCAUCAUUAUCAUCAUCAUCAUAAAAUAUAGCAACUUAGCUAAAUUAUUCACAUCAUCAUUAUUUUAAUUAAUAACUCAAAACAUCAUUGUUAACAUCAUCAAUUUAAUCAUUAACACAUAAUUAGUUAGCUACUCAAAACAUCGUAAUUUAAUCAACAUAGAUUAAUCAUCAAGAUCUACUAAUCCUAGGGAAAUUAGAAUUAAUCCACACUAACAUAGGUUUUUAAAGCAUUUUCAAGUUAAAACAGGGCCUUGUAUCGAUACAAAACACAACUUGUAUCGGUACAAGUUCGUUAUUAUUUCCAAGUUUCUACAUAAUUCACACAUGUAUGUAUCGAUACAUACACUCCUAUAUAUCGGUACAUACACGCGAUUUUCCAAACUAUCAAAAGGUAGGUUAACUUAAAUUCUACCUUUAGUACAUUUCAUUCAUUUACACAUUAUUAACAAACACUUGGAAGACACUAAUUUACAUCAAUCAUGAGAAUCAAAAUAAUCAUCACUAUUUUUACCAAAACAUGGAAAUACCCAAAUAACAACAAUCAACAACAACAACAAGUAAAAGCAUAGAUUUUUAUCAUAUUAUAACAUCAUCAAAUCAUGGAUAAACAUUUAUCAACAUGUGAUUCAACAUAAAAAUCUAUAAUAACACAUUCCCAAUUUCCCUCAAUUAAAACCCAAAACCCAAAAAGAGAUGUGAGAGUUUGAGCUAGAGAAAUGUGAUUUCUCCCCUCUCAUUAACCAUCUCAUCUCAUAGCUACAAAAUCCAACCUCUUACCUUGUAUUAAUGUUGGAAACUCUAGUCCUCCACUCCUCUUGAAUCCUCAAGCUCCAAGUUACUCUUUGCUCUUGCAUUUCUCUUCUUUUUCUUCAUUUUCCCCGAAUUCCUAACUGUACAUUGCGAGCAUGAUUUCUCCCACCUCAGACCUUAUUUUAACGAUCCCAACGGUCAAAAGUUGUGUUUGUAUGUUGCAAACCUACCCUCAAAAUCUUGUUGAGAUCCAACGGUUAACGAAUCUGCAAUCGAAGUUUUAGUGGAGCUGAUGCAUGGAAAACGAGAUUUGUUUCUCUACUCUCAUUCUUUCCCUUUUUCUUUCUUUUCUCCCUUCUCUUUCUUCCUCUCUUUUCUCUUCUUUAAGCCAAA